Ochotona princeps (American pika) is the source of this 308-nucleotide unclassified non-coding RNA. Its record names the gene 7SK. It matches the Rfam family "7SK RNA". Rfam says of the family: 7SK was discovered as an abundant small nuclear RNA in the mid-70s but a possible function has only recently been suggested. Two independent studies have found that 7SK RNA binds the CDK9/cyclin T complex (known as elongation factor P-TEFb). NCBI's taxonomy places the organism in Eukaryota, Metazoa, Chordata, Mammalia, Lagomorpha, Ochotonidae. The record is from Ensembl.
GGAUGUGAGGGCGAUCUGCUUGCGACAUCUGUCACCCCAUUGAUUGCCAGGGUUGAUUCGGCUGAUCUGGCUGGCUAGGUGGGUGUCCCCUUUCUCCCUCACCGCUCCAUGUGCGUCCCUCCCGAAGCUGCGCGCUCGGUCGAAGAGGGUGACCAUCCCCGCUAGAGGAGGAGCUGUCUUUGGUCAAGGGUAUACGAGUAGCUGCGCUCGCCUGCUAGAACCUCCAAAUAAGCUCUCAAGGUCCAAUAAAAAUAAAUAAAACUUUUUUCAAAAUGCCCUUUUUGCGUGUCUUGAAAGAGGGACUAUGU